Stegodyphus mimosarum is the source of this 73-nucleotide non-coding RNA. The record is from Rfam. Lineage: Eukaryota; Metazoa; Arthropoda; Arachnida; Araneae; Eresidae.
GCCGUCGUGGUGUAGUGGUCAGCACGCUCGACGCGUAACUGAGAGGUCCGUGGUUCGAUUCCUGGCGAAGACG